Molecule: ribosomal RNA, 164 nt
Filed under: Pectis vandevenderi
Lineage: Eukaryota; Viridiplantae; Streptophyta; Magnoliopsida; Asterales; Asteraceae
Description: 5.8S ribosomal RNA
Rfam family: 5.8S ribosomal RNA
About the family: 5.8S ribosomal RNA (5.8S rRNA) is a component of the large subunit of the eukaryotic ribosome. It is transcribed by RNA polymerase I as part of the 45S precursor that also contains 18S and 28S rRNA.
Source: RNAcentral
UAAACGACUCUCGGCAACGGAUAUCUCGGCUCACGCAUCGAUGAAGAACGUAGCAAAAUGCGAUACUUGGUGUGAAUUGCAGAAUCCCGUGAACCAUCGAGUUUUUGAACGCAAGUUGCGCCSGAAGCCAUCUGGUUGAGGGCACGUCUGCCUGGGCGUCACGU